GCUGGGUGUGGUGGCGCAUGCCUGUAGUCCCAGCUGUCAGGAAGAUGAAGCAGUAGGAUCACUUGAGCCCAGGAGUUCUAAGCUAUAAUGUGCUAUGCUGAUCGGGUGUCUGCAAUAAGUUUGACAUCAACAUGGUGACCUCCUGGGAGCAGGGGACCACCAGUUGCCUAAGGAGAGGUGAACCAGCCUAGGUCGGAAACAAGUAGGUCAAAACUCCUGUGCUGAUCAGUAGUGGGAUCACACCUGUGAAUAGCCAUUGCACUCUAGCCUGGGCAACACAGCAGGAUCCAUCU
Molecule: signal recognition particle RNA, 293 nt
Filed under: Prolemur simus (greater bamboo lemur)
Lineage: Eukaryota; Metazoa; Chordata; Mammalia; Primates; Lemuridae
Description: Metazoan signal recognition particle RNA (ENSPSMG00000012556.1)
Rfam family: Metazoan signal recognition particle RNA
About the family: The signal recognition particle (SRP) is a universally conserved ribonucleoprotein. It is involved in the co-translational targeting of proteins to membranes. The eukaryotic SRP consists of a 300-nucleotide 7S RNA and six proteins: SRPs 72, 68, 54, 19, 14, and 9.
Source: RNAcentral